RNAcentral lists this unclassified non-coding RNA (260 nucleotides) under uncultured fungus. RNAcentral's name for it is "partial contains 5.8S ribosomal RNA, internal transcribed spacer 2, and large subunit ribosomal RNA". The stretch from base 1 to 52 matches the Rfam family "5.8S ribosomal RNA", at positions 103 to 154 of the family's 154-position model. The record is from RNAcentral. Lineage: Eukaryota; Fungi.
AACGCACAUUGCGCCCACUGGUAUUCCGGUGGGCAUGCCUGUUCGAGCGUCAUUAUCCUCCCUCAAACCUCGUGUUUGGUGUUGGGCCCGAGCUGCUGCGACGCAGCUGGCCUCAAAGACAAUGACGGCGUCCGCGGGACCCUCGGUGCAACGAGCUUUUCGGAGCACGCGUCGAGUUUCAAGGUCCCCCCGGGCCGGUCUAACCCCCCUUUCUUCGUAAGGUUGACCUCGGAUCAGGUAGGAAUACCCGCUGAACUUAA